CUGUUGUCACACUGUUAUAAAGAACUGCUCAAGAUUGGGCAGUUUAUAAAGAAAAGAGGUUGAAUUGACUCAGUUCCACAUGGCUGGGGAGGCCUCAGGAAACAGAUCAUGGCGGCAGGUGCGAGAGAGUGAGGAGGGUAAGGGGAAGAGCCCCUUGUAAACCAUCAGAUCUUGGGAGAACUCACUCACUAUCACGAGAACAGCAUGGGGGAAGCCGGGCCCAUGAUCCAGUCACCUCCCACCAGGUCUUCCCUAGACACUUGGGGAUUACCUUCAACAUGAGAUUUGGCGGGGACACAGCAAAACCGUAUCACUGGAAUGACAGGCACUCCACCAUGCCUGGCUAAAUUUUUUUUUUUUUUUUUUUUUAAUAUGGGGUCUUGCUGUGUUGCUCAGGGGUCUCAAACUCCUGGGCUCCAGUCAUC
RNAcentral lists this long non-coding RNA (425 nucleotides) under Homo sapiens (human). RNAcentral describes it as "HSALNT0197709". Lineage: Eukaryota; Metazoa; Chordata; Mammalia; Primates; Hominidae. The record is from RNAcentral.